Acinonyx jubatus (cheetah) is the source of this 1504-nucleotide long non-coding RNA. RefSeq lists it as uncharacterized. The transcript is spliced from 4 exons. Lineage: Eukaryota; Metazoa; Chordata; Mammalia; Carnivora; Felidae. The record is from RefSeq and is a predicted model, not a curated record.
AGAAAAGGUGAAAGCAGGGAGCCAGGAGGCUAAUGCAACAUUCUGCUUUAAGAUAACAGUGGUUAAGGUUAAGGCUUUAAGAUAACAGUGGUUAGGGUUAAGGCAUGCGGGAAAAGUGAAAGGUUUGGGGAUGUGUGUUUCAGGUGGAGUUAAGAGGAUUUGCUGAUGGAUUGGAGGCUUGGAGCGGAAGAAAGAGGUUACAUGCAUUCACUCAUUGGACCCUCAUGAAAACCCAGUGAGAUGCGAACCCUCCUGUGAUCCUGGCAAUUGCAUCAGAAGAUGAGGAGGAAAUACACUGUGAACCUAAGGAAAGAGCAGCAGCGCUGGCAAAAGGCCACGGCCGUGCAGGAGCUCCUGGCCCCAUGGACAAAGAGGACCCGGAGGGUGCUGGGCUGAAGCUCAGGCAGCUUGGGGACGGGCAGCAGCCCCACUCCCACGCCACUUUGAGCCCGUUGCGGCUGCAGGAGCAGGAGGGCGUUUUACAAUGAAUUCCCCGCUUGCACAUGUUGCCACGGUAUCAUUUAUCAGGAAUCUGGAGUUUUUGAUGCCCUUUAAAUUUAGUGUGGAGGAAAAAAACAUCCCUAAAGCAAGGCCUCAAUCUGAAUAUUACAGAACAAUGUACUGGGGGAGAGGUGUUGUGGAAUAGUAGGCUUCACACCCAGCGUGCAGCCCGACGCGGGACUUGAACUCACGACCCUGAGAUCAAGACCUGAGCUGAGAUCAAGAGUCAGACGCUUAACCGACUGAGCCACCCAGGUGCCUCCAAACCAUGUAUGUGCAUGUGCAUAUGCAUGUAUAUAUAAAUUAGGGUGGACUUCUGUGCGGAGACCCUCUAUAAGAUGGGGGAUAGCAACGUCCCUGCCAUAGAAUUGGUGAGAGCAUAUAACAUAUGUAAGUACCUGGCACAAUGUCUGGCCACAGAAGAAGCCCUCAGAAAUGCCCACUACUAUUAUUUCAUAACACGUCCUAUUACCACAGCAUAACCCGCGGUGUAGGUGGCAUGAUGGAAAAAGGCAUGAUUAGAAAUGACACAUUCUCUGGGCGCCUGGGGGGCUCAGUUCGUUGAGCAUCUGACUCCUGAUUUCGGCUCAGGUCAUGAUCUCACUGUCAGGAGAGAGGGCUCCGUGCUGUAAGACCCCAUUGGGGAUUCUCUCUCCCUCUCCCUCUCCCUCCGCUUCUCCCCUGCACGUGCAUAUGCGCACGCACACUCGCGUACUCUCUCUCUCAAAAUAAGCAAACGUUAAAAAAUUAAAAAUUAUAGAAAAGAAAUUACAUUCUCAUUCUUUUAGAGACACGGAAAUAUCUACGAAUGCAACGAUGUGGUGUCUCUAUUUGCAUCCAAAUAAUUAUGAUGAACUGGUUAGGGUACUGAUGAGACAAGGCAGGCUGUGAAUAAUUGUUGAGACUGAGAUUAGUCCAUAAGGUAUGUCUUGUGAUUCUCUCUGCUUUUGUGUACGCUUGACAUUUCACAUAAUAAAAAACAUGUUUUUAUGGUUUUUUUUAA